AUCCAGAUGACGAGUCCCAAGUAGGAUGAAAUAUGCGUCCUGGAU
This 45-nucleotide non-coding RNA is filed under the name Schistosoma curassoni. The record is from RNAcentral. Lineage: Eukaryota; Metazoa; Platyhelminthes; Trematoda; Strigeidida; Schistosomatidae.